GAUGUCAGGGUCAAAAGGCCUAAGCCCACAUGAGCUUGCUCAUAAGUGGGCGAAGGGCCUUGGGACCCGCCCCGAUAUUCGCAUAAAAGUGGGAUGUAUAUCCCACUUUUAUGCGAAUAUUGGGCAGGAUUGCGUGAGUGUACAGCACAGAGCAAUCCGUAGACAUC
RNAcentral lists this small RNA (167 nucleotides) under uncultured Blautia sp. RNAcentral's name for it is "Clostridiales-1 RNA". It matches the Rfam family "Clostridiales-1 RNA". The record is from RNAcentral. Lineage: Bacteria; Bacillati; Bacillota; Clostridia; Lachnospirales; Lachnospiraceae.